GAUGAACGCUGGCGGCGUGCCUAAUACAUGCAAGUCGAGCGAACAGACGAGGAGCUUGCUCCUCUGACGUUAGCGGCGGACGGGUGAGUAACACGUGGAUAACCUACCUAUAAGACUGGGAUAACUUCGGGAAACCGGAGCUAAUACCGGAUAAUAUAUUGAACCGCAUGGUUCAAUAGUGAAAGACGGUUUUGCUGUCACUUAUAGAUGGAUCCGCGCCGCAUUAGCUAGUUGGUAAGGUAACGGCUUACCAAGGCAACGAUGCGUAGCCGACCUGAGAGGGUGAUCGGCCACACUGGAACUGAGACACGGUCCAGACUCCUACGGGAGGCAGCAGUAGGGAAUCUUACGCAAUGGGCGAAAGCCUGACGGAGCAACGCCGCGUGAGUGAUGAAGGUCUUCGGAUCGUAAAACUCUGUUAUUAGGGAAGAACAAAUGUGUAACUAACUAUGCACGUCUUGACGGUACCUAAUCAGAAAGCCACGGCUAACUACGUG
This 497-nucleotide ribosomal RNA is filed under the name uncultured bacterium. RNAcentral's name for it is "partial 16S ribosomal RNA". It matches the Rfam family "Bacterial small subunit ribosomal RNA", at positions 28 to 507 of the family's 1533-position model. The record is from RNAcentral.